AGAGUUUGAUCCUGGCUCAGGAUGAACGCUGGCGGUCUGCUUAACACAUGCAAGUCGAACGGGACUCUUCGGAGUUUAGUGGCGGACGGGUGAGUAACGCGUGAGAAUCUGCCCUUAGGUUGGGGACAACAGUUGGAAACGACUGCUAAUACCCAAUGUGCCGAGAGGUGAAAGGUUAACUGCCUGGGGAUGAGCUCGCGUCUGAUUAGCUAGUUGGAGUGGUAACGGCACACCAAGGCGACGAUCAGUAGCUGGUCUGAGAGGAUGAUCAGCCACACUGGGACUGAGACACGGCCCAGACUCCUACGGGAGGCAGCAGUGGGGAAUUUUCCGCAAUGGGCGAAAGCCUGACGGAGCAAGACCGCGUGAGGGAGGAAGGCCUAUUGGUUGUAAACCUCUUUUGAUAGGGAAGAACACAAUGACGGUACCUAUCGAAUCAGCAUCGGCUAACUCCGUGCCAGCAGCCGCGGUAAUACGGAGGAUGCAAGCGUUAUCCGGAUUUAUUGGGCGUAAAGCGUCCGUAGGUGGCAAACCAAGUCAGUUGUUAAAGCGUAGAGCUUAACUCUAUAAGGGCAAUUGAAACUGGUUAGCUAGAGUGCGAUAGGGGCAAGGGGAAUUCCCAGUGUAGCGGUGAAAUGCGUAGAUAUUGGGAAGAACAUCGGUGGCGAAGGCGCCUUGCUGGGUCUGCACCGACACUGAGGGACGAAAGCUAGGGGAGCGAAAGGGAUUAGAUACCCCUGUAGUCCUAGCCGUAAACGAUGG
RNAcentral lists this ribosomal RNA (762 nucleotides) under uncultured cyanobacterium. RNAcentral's name for it is "bacterial SSU rRNA". It matches the Rfam family "Bacterial small subunit ribosomal RNA", at positions 8 to 812 of the family's 1533-position model. Lineage: Bacteria; Bacillati; Cyanobacteriota. The record is from RNAcentral.